UCGGGAAUUUUGGGCAAUGGGCGAAAGCCUGACCCAGCAACGCCGCGUGAAGGAUGAAGUAUUUCGGUAUGUAAACUUCGAAAGAAUAGGAAGAAUAAAUGACGGUACUAUUUAUAAGGUCCGGCUAACUACGUGCCAGCAGCCGCGGUAAUACGUAGGGACCAAGCGCUGUUCGGAUUUACUGGGCGUAAAGGGCGCGUAGGCGGCAAUUCAAGUCAUCUGUGAAAUCUCCGGGCUUAACUCGGAACGGUCAGAUGAUACUGCUUUGCUAGAGUGCAGAAGGGGCAAUCGGAAUUCUUGGUGUAGCGGUGAAAUGCGUAGAUAUCAAGAGGAACACCUGAGGUGAAGACGGGUUGCUGGGCUGACACUGACGCUGAGGCGCGAAAGCCAGGGGAGCAAACGGGAUUAGAUACCCGGGUAGUCCCUGAGCGGGCUGGCAAGGCGCAU
Molecule: ribosomal RNA, 447 nt
Filed under: uncultured bacterium
Lineage: Bacteria
Description: bacterial SSU rRNA
Rfam family: Bacterial small subunit ribosomal RNA
Source: RNAcentral